RNAcentral lists this small nucleolar RNA (138 nucleotides) under Arabidopsis thaliana (thale cress). The record is from RNAcentral. Lineage: Eukaryota; Viridiplantae; Streptophyta; Magnoliopsida; Brassicales; Brassicaceae.
UGGCGUCCAUUACCAAUUCUGAAGGAUAAAAACAGUUCCUUCAGGUAUAAUGGCUUGUGACGCUAUAUUGGUUGUGGUAUAUCCUGAUCUUUUUGCUUUUUUCCAUGCCUUUUGAUCCUGGAAAUGCCUCGCACAUUA